Molecule: ribosomal RNA, 342 nt
Filed under: uncultured bacterium
Lineage: Bacteria
Description: bacterial SSU rRNA
Rfam family: Bacterial small subunit ribosomal RNA
Source: RNAcentral
GCGUAGGUGGGUAGGUAAGUCAGCGGUGAAAUCCCCGAGCUUAACUUGGGAACUGCCAUUGAUACUAUCUGUCUUGAAUACCUUGGAGGUGAGCGGAAUAUGUCAUGUAGCGGUGAAAUGCUUAGAUAUGACAUAGAACACCAAUUGCGAAGGCAGCUCACUACACGGUCAUUGACACUGAGGCACGAAAGCGUGGGGAUCAAACAGGGUUAGAUACCCUGGUAGUCCACGCCCUAAACGAUGGAUACUCGACAUCAGCGAUACACUGUUGGUGUCUGAGCGAAAGCAUUAAGUAUCCCACCUGGGAAGUACGACCGCAAGGUUGAAACUCAAAGGAAUUGG